Molecule: long non-coding RNA, 1414 nt
Filed under: Medicago truncatula (barrel medic)
Lineage: Eukaryota; Viridiplantae; Streptophyta; Magnoliopsida; Fabales; Fabaceae
Description: long non-coding RNA (MTRU_LNC000975)
Source: RNAcentral
UCAAAGGAUCAACGGUACUUCAAUAUAAUGAAAACAUUAAACCAAACUUUGAAAUGACAAUGUUCAAGUGAGGCCUAAAAACAUAAAUUAUCUACUUCACAACUAAAUUAGAAGUUUAGUGGCUACACAUGGAGGAAUUAUCAACAAUACAUAAAUAAAAGAGGAAUUAUGUCUCGACGAAGUAAUAAAAUCAACACAUUUAUUAAACUUGCGGUUGACAAGAUACACCGAAUGAUCCCAAUCUAGACGUCAGAACUUCAUCUAGAAUGAAUUGGAGAGGAGAGGAUGGAGCAAUCUCCGAAUUAAUCAAAGCAACCAUCGCCGAAGAGGCAACUUCAAAACACAACACAUUAUUAAGAUGGAGGUUGUGAGCAGGACGACAAAUUCCAUCACUCGAGGCCACAAGCUCAUCCAAUAAAACUGGAAAUUAUCUUUGAGUGGAAGUAAUUUACCAAGCGACUUAACUCAUUUCGAAUAGUUCGUCCUAUAGAGGCCAUUAGCCGGAAUAAAUGAAUCAUCCACAGUUAUCUUGUAGCAACAAGGAGGGAAAUUUUCCUGAUGAGGUUUGACAGCUUUUGGACCCUCAUUACAAGAACCACUUGGAUUUGAGAUUUCACUAUGUAUAGAGUGAGUAAUAAGCGAAACCUCAGUUGAUAGACUUGUUCAUAUAAUAGAGACUUGAGAGAAAAAAAACCAACUUGUUUCUAUCAUUCCAGAGAGCCAUAAAGCAACAAGACCAAAAAAAAGAUGGACGGUUCCAACAUUAUCAUUUGAGAGGUUCCAUUUAAGCCAUUCAUGGGUACCUAAACUGAAGAAUAUAUACCGAAUCCCUUCUUUGAUGAAACCCUCCCAAAAAGUUUUAAUAUCGUUAUAAUCUAUGAAAACAUGCAUAAGAGUUUCAGGCGUAUUAGUAUAAAUAGAGUUAUGAGACUUACCCGAUUGACAUCUUUCUAAAUUUGUGAGAAGAGUGUCAUGACUUGCUUUCUAGAUAUGAGCACGCGUAGUUGCAACAUGAUCUUCAACUAUUAAUCUUUGACAUAACUGGGUCCGGUUCUUUCACAUGUUGAUGGGUGAAUACAAUAUUAUAAGCACUUCUGAUUAAAAAUUAGUCAUUUUUUAAGAUUUAAAUUCAAUAUGAUCUUCAAUAAUUUUUCAGAUAUGAGCAUACAUAAUUGCAACAUGACCUUCAACUAUUAACCUUUGAUAUAAUCGGGUCCGAUUCUUCCACUGUUGAUGAGUGAAUACAAUAUUACAAACACUUAUGAUUAAAAAUUAGUCAUUUUUCAAGAUUUAAAUUCAAUAUGAUCUUCAAUAAUUUUUUAGAUAUGAGCAUGCAUAGUUGCAACAUGACCUUCAACUAUUAACCUUUGAUAUAAUCGGGUUCGGUUCUUCCACAUGUUGAUGAGUGAAUACA